Molecule: long non-coding RNA, 1747 nt
Filed under: Brassica rapa (field mustard)
Lineage: Eukaryota; Viridiplantae; Streptophyta; Magnoliopsida; Brassicales; Brassicaceae
Description: long non-coding RNA (BRAP_LNC008969)
Source: RNAcentral
GCUGUGCCUCCUUGGAUGGUCACGUCUGGUUCUGGUUCGUGACUGAGUUGGACGGCCUGAAGUUCAUCAAGCCUCUGAUGGAUCGCCUCCAAACCUGUAUUCAACAAGUUAGACAUAGAAUCAUUCAGAGCACGCAUUUGCAAGUUAGAUAAUCCGGCAUAUGAAUUUCUGGGUCGGUUUCUUUCUUCUUCACUAUCCAUGGUUACCUGAAAACAUAAACAAGGUAAAGUUAGAUUAAAAACCUCACACACUCAGGUGUUUAUCCUCACCCACACACGUGUUUCACUCAAUUUUUUUGUUGGUAAUCACACAAGAGAGUUCCUCCCAAAGUUCUAAGAGAGCAAACUAGAUCACCCAAUGAGCAAAUCCAAGUGAACCACAAAAGAUCAAAAGAGAAAGAUAAGAGAUUUAGAGGGGAACCCGCCUUAACCACCUCAAACGCCGGAUUUCUCUUUGGCCAGCAGGCUUUCUCUUCCACCACCACACCACAAACAAAUCAAACUUUGGAAUAUCUUUUUUAUACUUUUUUUUUUAUAUAUCUUUCUUUUCUUUUUUUUAUGGGGGUAAUGAGGGGCCCGGGUUCAAGAUAGAUAGAUAAGAAAUUUAGAUGAAGAAUAUGGAAGAUGAGAUGAAAUGGAUUCAAAAAGAGUUACCGAGAGAGUGGCUCUGAUACCACUUGAUAGAACCAAAAUAAGGAUCACUCUUUCGGUAAGGUUGAUAUGAACUCAGAUCGGAGAGGAUUGAGAACUGAUGGAUCUAGGGGUGACACUAAGGGUUGCAGAAUAGCCCAAAGAUACUACCAGAGAUUCGAAGGUUGCCGGAUGUGACGCACCAGUCCAACACAACGAAGUGGUUCGCUUGGAGAUGACCUCACCAAGAGAAGUAUGAAUGUUCUAAGCAAAGAACAAUGAGAGAAGUCUCAAAAUAAGCAAAGGAAAAUCGAUGUAGAUUUUAUUAAGGGAAUCAUCACAUACUUAUAAGGUUUGUGAGUCAAAGAAACAUAAAGACAUUUGUGGGAAAAGACAACAUAGAAAAUAGAAAUGAAUGAAAACAAGACAUAGAAACUAGAAAUGAAGACUUUGACUAAAGACUGGUCAAGGUGCGGAUUCUUGUGUUGACUGGUCCAGAUUCAAAAAGAUGUCCAGGUUCAUUCUGUGGUGAUCAGGUCGUUUGCGGUAAGGAGCAGGGCGGACGUAAGGCUGCCCGCAUGGUUGAUCGUCGAUGAUCCAUGAACGGAUGAAGAGAUAGCUCGACCCAAAUCUUCAGAGAGCUUAAGUAUCCUUCCUUUGGAGUAGUUGGUAGCAUCUAUCAUCAUGAAAUCAUCAAAGUGGUUGGAAAGGUCGUGACCAGCCUGAUCCGGGCAUGCGGUACGUCCCAAACGGGCCAGGAAAGACAGGCUAAGUCCGGAAUCUGAUUCUUCUCGAUGAUCAUGAAUUCUGGCUUGACUGUUGGCUCUAGAAUGGCGAAUGGGUCAGGGAAGAACGCCUGUGGGUUGGCUGAUUCGGUCAUCAGGUCGUGGAUCCAUCCUUAGGUCACGGGUGCAUGCGGGUCGAUCCGGUACACGGCUCUGUCCGUUGAUCUGGUACGGCUGAAUGGCUGAACCUCAGUUGGACUGAUCUGAUCGUCCUGGUCACCAUGCUGAGUCUGCUCCACGUCCUGGUCCAGGUCCUGGGUUCUAUCAGUCUGUCUCCGUCAGCACACACAAGACGUCCGUGCCUGUCCAUCAAUACUCAUAUCAGCACGUUGG